This 468-nucleotide ribosomal RNA is filed under the name uncultured bacterium. Its description in RNAcentral is "partial 16S ribosomal RNA". It matches the Rfam family "Bacterial small subunit ribosomal RNA", at positions 28 to 507 of the family's 1533-position model. The record is from RNAcentral.
GACGAACGCUGGCGGCGUGCUUAACACAUGCAAGUCGAACGGAAAGGCCCUGCUUUUGUGGGGUGCUCGAGUGGCGAACGGGUGAGUAACACGUGAGUAACCUGCCCUUGACUUUGGGAUAACUUCAGGAAACUGGGGCUAAUACCGGAUAGGAGCUCCUGCUGCAUGGUGGGGGUUGGAAAGUUUCGGCGGUUGGGGAUGGACUCGCGGCUUAUCAGCUUGUUGGUGGGGUAGUGGCUUACCAAGGCUUUGACGGGUAGCCGGCCUGAGAGGGUGACCGGCCACAUGGGGACUGAGAGACGGACCAGACGCCUACGGGAGGCAGCAGUGGGGAAUAUGGCACAAUGGGCGGAAGCCUGAUGCAGCAACGCCGGGUUCGGGAAGACGGCUUUCGGGUUGUAAACCGCUUUCGCCUGUGACGAAGCGUGAGUGACGGUAAUGGGUAAAGAAGCACCGGCUAACUACGUG